Molecule: ribosomal RNA, 226 nt
Filed under: uncultured Bacteroidota bacterium
Lineage: Bacteria; Pseudomonadati; Bacteroidota
Description: uncultured Bacteroidetes bacterium partial 16S ribosomal RNA
Rfam family: Bacterial small subunit ribosomal RNA
Source: RNAcentral
UCUUCCCAUAUAAAAGUAGGUACAACCCAUAGGGCAGUCUUCCUACGGGAGGCAGCAGUUAGGAAUAUUGGACAAUGGAGGCAACUCUGAUCCAGCCAUGCCGCGUGUAGGAAGACUGCCCUAUGGGUUGUAAACUACUUUUAUAUGGGAAGAAUAAGGUCUACGUGUAGACUGAUGACGGUACCAUAAGAAUAAGCACCGGCUAACUCCGUGCCAGCAGCCGCGG